Tympanuchus pallidicinctus (lesser prairie-chicken) is the source of this 347-nucleotide long non-coding RNA. RefSeq lists it as uncharacterized. Lineage: Eukaryota; Metazoa; Chordata; Aves; Galliformes; Phasianidae. The record is from RefSeq and is a predicted model, not a curated record. The transcript has 2 exons.
GCGGGCGACACCGCCCGCACCAUAGAGAGGGGGCGGAGUGCUGUGCCAGAGCGCCGCCAACACCAUAGAGAGGGGCUGGGGGUGCGGCGGCAGAGCGCCGCCAGGCACUGAGCUGUGGUCCGGCUGCGUACAGAGCUGCUUCGCAGAAACAUGGGGGCUCGUGAGUGGCAGCUGUGGCACCUCGGUUUCCACUGUUUCCAGUGUUUGCCUUUGCGGCCUUGAAAACAGGCUCACGAAAGAUUUUCCAGCUGGGAUGGAGAAACGUGUGGAGGAUGUUGAGGUUUCAUAACGUCAACCGGUCUUAUUUGUAAUUAAUUUCAAGUCUGUCGUUUUUUGUUUUUUUUUUU